GUGUAUGACACAGGGCAUGCAGUUAUAAUAUAAGGAAGAUACUGCUCAGCAGUCUCUAGCCUUGCUUCUGAUGGUGCCAUCUUUCCUUUCAAUCUCUUAAAUGAAAAAUCUACUGUCAUCCUACAGCUGCAUAGAUUAAAAGUAAAGGAAGAUGGCUUGACGUGAAUUACCUGACAGAGGCCAUGCCCAGAUGAUGGAGCUGUACAGAUUUUUGCAGAAAAACCUUCUGUGAGAACGCCAUUGUCGUACUUAUCACAGCAUGCCUUGGGCUUUGAAUUUUGGUGAAACUCACAUGGUAACGUAUUCAUGUGAGCAUUUGGCAGAGAAUGGGCUGAGCCCCAACUAAAGCCCUCACCUACCUGCCCUUUGACCCAGCAGGGUAUCUUUCCUCAAACCAAGAACCAAGCUAUCUCCUUUUCCCCGGUAAGUAGGCUCACGGGGCAGACCAAGCCAUAUGAAUAAAGGGCUCCUUUCCCUACUCCCAAUGGCAGCUCUGAGGACCAUGCAGCAACAUAGUAGAAGGGUGAGACACUUUCACUUUUUUGUCAACACUAGCAACAUACUCCAACUUGGCUUCUGGACAUCCCUUCCUCCCUGCUAAUGACUGCUUACGGCAACCAUCUCCAAUGCUCUCCCUCACCUUCCCCUUGCCUCCAGGCUGAAUCUCUAUAUAAGGCUCCUCUUUGUCCACUUGAAUAUCCCUUCUCUCUUCCUCCCAUUUCUCAUUCCAGUGCUCCUGACUAACUCAACUCAUCACCUGCACUUGGGCCUAACAUGCUAUUUACCAACCAUUCUUUGGUUUGGGUGCUACAUUCACCCUGGGUCUGCUUGUCCAUAUGGACUGUGAGCUUUUCAGACCAAAGUCAUUAUUAUUAUUAUUAUCAUUAUCAUCCAUUGCAAGUAAUGCUAUGAACUAGAGUCAUCUAGCAUAUUAUUGUCACUUCUUAAAGUAUAUUUUAAAAUAUACUGGUGAAAGAAAAAAGAACAAGGAACUCACUGGCAGCCUUUCCAUUGACUUCAGUGGACUUUAUAUAUGGGGAGGGUAUGUGUAUGUGUGUUGAGAUGGAGGGGGGUCUUCUGUAGCAGAUGGCCAGGGAAAGACUUGAGAUGGCCACA
Molecule: long non-coding RNA, 1116 nt
Organism: Alligator mississippiensis (American alligator)
Lineage: Eukaryota; Metazoa; Chordata; Crocodylia; Alligatoridae
Exons: 3
Source: RefSeq, a predicted model, not a curated record